CAAACAUUUCGAAUGUGUUAGCAUAGUGCGCUUUCAAUCAACAACGAAAAAAAAAAACUCGAUAAAGUUAUGAAGCUUGUCGAAUGGAGAUAAUUAAAGUCAGACGUUGAUUCAUGUGACAGCACUUAAAAAAAGCAGUAAAAUGUUCAUGUUGAUAAAAUGAGUGGCCCGGUAUUUCGGGAAUAACUUAAUUCUACAUCUCUAAUCUCUGCAACCCAAUAUACACGAACUGAUCAAAACAGUUAAAUCUGGUCGAUUGCAUCAAUACAAAUAUCAUCAAUCAGAAUAUUAUUUAAAGUGGUACGUAUUUAAUAAAGUACAUUUAACUUUAAAUCUAUAAUCGAAAGAAUGUGAAUCAGUUUUAUUAAACGAUAUUUAUUGCGUUUAAA
Dalotia coriaria is the source of this 389-nucleotide long non-coding RNA. RefSeq lists it as uncharacterized. Lineage: Eukaryota; Metazoa; Arthropoda; Insecta; Coleoptera; Staphylinidae. The record is from RefSeq and is a predicted model, not a curated record. The transcript has 2 exons.